CCCCUUGUAAAGCGCCAUCAGCCCGCCUAUUUAUGGAAUGUCCUUCGGGACUAUGAACAUAAACGCGCUCGCAAUAAGCGGAUCGGACCCGGGGGCGGUACCCGGCGUCUCCACCAACACCCAACCGUCCGUCAGGGCAUGCGGGAAACGGCUCAUUUGGCCAGUCUGGGGACGAAAUAGGAUCGACGAACGUCUAAAGGGGUUAGCUUUGUUUCGGUGAGUUACCACCGUUAUCGGUACGUUUAAGCUAGUUGCAAAUGACAACAAUGCUCGGGUUGCUCUCGCUGCGUAAGCAGUGCGAAAUAUCCAAAUUUAAGCCCCUACGCUUUGCAGCCUAGGGCGGGGUUCGCAGGUACCUGGCAACAGAAACCUGCACU
RNAcentral lists this transfer-messenger RNA (377 nucleotides) under Octadecabacter sp. B2R22. It matches the Rfam family "Alphaproteobacteria transfer-messenger RNA". From Rfam's summary of the family: Bacterial tmRNA, also known as 10Sa RNA or SsrA, is named for its dual tRNA and mRNA-like properties. Its role is to liberate the mRNA from a stalled ribosome. To accomplish this part of the tmRNA is used as a reading frame that ends in a translation stop signal. The record is from RNAcentral. RNAcentral also lists the same sequence under 1 other name. Lineage: Bacteria; Pseudomonadati; Pseudomonadota; Alphaproteobacteria; Rhodobacterales; Roseobacteraceae.